This 708-nucleotide ribosomal RNA is filed under the name Triticum aestivum (bread wheat). Its description in RNAcentral is "partial small subunit ribosomal RNA". Lineage: Eukaryota; Viridiplantae; Streptophyta; Magnoliopsida; Poales; Poaceae. The record is from RNAcentral.
AUGUUCAUUUUGCCACAUCGCUUCAUUGAAAUCUCCAACCAUGAACCAAGGACCAGAACCCAUAGGCUUAAUUCUCUGCAAAAGUUCCCACAUGACGUACCUUUGACUAGCCUUAGGCUCUCCAUAGAUAAAGGUGCUUCUCCACUUGUGGUCGAUGCUCUUGCUUCGAUCCUAGAUUUGGCCAAAUGAGCCGGUCACAUUCGGGGGUUUUGCCCCCAUCUUGUGGCCAAUGAAGGUCUGACCCACCUCCAAUAUGCGGAUGAUACCAUUAUGAUGGUGGAAGGAUCGGACGAGGAUAUUCAGAACCUCAAGUUCCUCCUCCUCUGCUUUCAGGAGAUGUCGGGUCUCACGAUCAAUUUCGCCAAGAGUGAGGUGAUGGUCCUGGGAUACUCCCAGGCGGAAGCUCAGCGAAUCGCCAAUCGCUUGAAUUGUCGAUUGGGGUCCUUCCCGACUACUUACCUUGGCAUGCCAAUUAGUGACACGCGUCUACUGGAGAAGGACUUUCGCCCAAUAAUCGUCAAGCUCCAGCCUAGGAUGGAGCCUUGGCAGGGGAGAUGGCUUUCUAAAGCCGCUCGAGUCAUUUUGAUGAAAUCCUCCCUUAUUAGCCUUUUGAUGUACAUAAUGGGAUUCUAUAGUUUACAUGAAUCCCUUCAUCAUGAGGUCACCAAACUCCUUUCCAGAUUCUUCUGGGCGGGAGAAAACAAUAAA